Molecule: long non-coding RNA, 278 nt
Organism: Dreissena polymorpha
Lineage: Eukaryota; Metazoa; Mollusca; Bivalvia; Myida; Dreissenidae
Exons: 3
Source: RefSeq, a predicted model, not a curated record
AACAGACAUUAGGAAAAAAAUUGUUUCACAUACAAAUGCUUGCUUAAAUAUGAAUUAAUGUUUAUGUUUAUAUUCUUUUUACAGCCGACGCUGAUCAUGUGACCACCAGUUCCAACUCCAACUCUGCGAGCAGCAGCAGCGCAAGAGCGUCUCUCCACGCACAAAUGGGCAUUCAUGAUGCCGAUACAGUAUCAGUAGGAGGCAGUCCAGCCAUGGGUGCCGACAUGGGACUGUCUGGUCUGGCAGGGCUCGGGGGUUCGACCGGUGUAGGGGGAAAC